RNAcentral lists this ribosomal RNA (578 nucleotides) under uncultured bacterium. Its description in RNAcentral is "bacterial SSU rRNA". It matches the Rfam family "Bacterial small subunit ribosomal RNA", at positions 102 to 694 of the family's 1533-position model. The record is from RNAcentral.
ACGGGUGAGUAACACGUGGGUGAUCUGCCCUGCACUUCGGGAUAAGCCUGGGAAACUGGGUCUAAUACCGGAUAUGACCACGCGAUGCAUGUUGUGUGGUGGAAAGCUUUUGCGGUGUGGGAUGGGCCCGCGGCCUAUCAGCUUGUUGGUGGGGUUAAGGCCUACCAAGGCGACGACGGGUAGCCGGCCUGAGAGGGUGACCGGCCACACUGGGACUGAGAUACGGCCCAGACUCCUACGGGAGGCAGCAGUGGGGAAUAUUGCACAAUGGGCGCAAGCCUGAUGCAGCGACGCCGCGUGAGGGACGACGGCCUUCGGGUUGUAAACCUCUUUCAGCACAGACGAAGCGCAAGUGACGGUAUGUGCAGAAGAAGGACCGGCCAACUACGUGCCAGCAGCCGCGGUAAUACGUAGGGUCCGAGCGUUGUCCGGAAUUACUGGGCGUAAAGAGCUCGUAGGUGGUUUGUCGCGUUGUUCGUGAAAACUCACAGCUCAACUGUGGGCGUGCGGGCGAUACGGGCAGACUGGAGUACUGCAGGGGAGACUGGAAUUCCUGGUGUAGCGGUGGAAUGCGCAGA